Molecule: long non-coding RNA, 363 nt
Organism: Notothenia coriiceps (black rockcod)
Lineage: Eukaryota; Metazoa; Chordata; Actinopteri; Perciformes; Nototheniidae
Exons: 3
Source: RefSeq, a predicted model, not a curated record
UCAGGCCAGCGGAAAUUAAGUGUUUUGGUACCUGAGGCAGAGGGUUACAUGGGGGCCUACCUUGCCAAAGCUUUAGGUGGAAAAGGCUGUCUCUAUAUAAUGCCCAUCCAGGACACUUUAGACACCUCCCCCUUGCCCUACUCAUCGAAGGAGUUCGAAAAUAUGCCAAAAGCCAGAUGUGCCACGUGUCAUCUAAGCAUGCCUGCAGCUGUUGGCUUUACACGCACAAGAGUGUGAACCAAGCAGCUGUCUGACCGCAUGGAUCUGGAACCGGAUCUGGACCCAGAUUUAGAUGAGUCUCCAGCUACAAGCAAUCCUGGGAAUGCUUCUCCAAGUGUGCUCCCGUGUAGGAUCUCCUGUUCU